GCACCAUUAGCUCAGUUGGUAGAGCAGCUGACUCUUAAUCAGCGGGUCGGAGGUUCGAGUCCUCCAUGGUGUA
This 73-nucleotide transfer RNA is filed under the name Fibrobacter sp. RNAcentral describes it as "tRNA-Lys". It matches the Rfam family "tRNA". From Rfam's summary of the family: Transfer RNA (tRNA) molecules are approximately 80 nucleotides in length. Their secondary structure includes four short double-helical elements and three loops (D, anti-codon, and T loops). Further hydrogen bonds mediate the characteristic L-shaped molecular structure. tRNAs have two regions of fundamental functional importance: the anti-codon, which is responsible for specific mRNA codon recognition, and the 3' end, to which the tRNAs corresponding amino acid is attached (by aminoacyl-tRNA synthetases). tRNAs cope with the degeneracy of the genetic code in two manners: having more than one tRNA (with a specific anti-codon) for a particular amino acid; and 'wobble' base-pairing, i.e. permitting non-standard base-pairing at the 3rd anti-codon position. Lineage: Bacteria; Pseudomonadati; Fibrobacterota; Fibrobacteria; Fibrobacterales; Fibrobacteraceae. RNAcentral also lists the same sequence under 2 other names. The record is from RNAcentral.